Molecule: non-coding RNA, 266 nt
Organism: Pelobates cultripes (western spadefoot toad)
Lineage: Eukaryota; Metazoa; Chordata; Amphibia; Anura; Pelobatidae
Source: the annotation of a GenBank genome assembly
GUGACAUCUCAAAUAAAUGGAGGCUAAAGGAGAGUCUGAUGGCAUGAGGUAAGGAUUUCCAGGGAAAUGAGGCAGCCCUUGAAAAGGUUGGCAGUGAAGGAAUAAGCAGUACAAAGUCACUUGCAGAGAAGAGGGAAUAAGAAGAGGUAUAUGUCACUGGAGUCUUACCACAACACACAGGGAAGUGGAAAACCACAAAAGUUGGAUCCGAAAGACGUAUUACCGAGAGUUAGGCUGGCCGGACUUAACGUAUUAAUACAGCAAGA